RNAcentral lists this ribosomal RNA (465 nucleotides) under uncultured bacterium. Its description in RNAcentral is "bacterial SSU rRNA". It matches the Rfam family "Bacterial small subunit ribosomal RNA", at positions 338 to 795 of the family's 1533-position model. The record is from RNAcentral.
CCUACGGGAUGCACCAGUGGGGAAUAUUGCACAAUGGGCGCAAGCCUGACGCAGCCAUGCCGCGUGUAUGAAGAAGGCCUUCGGGUUGUAAAGUACUUUCAGCGGGGAGGAAGGUGUUGUGGUUAAUAACCACAGCAAUUGACGUUACCCGUAGAAGAAGCACCGGCUAACUCCGUGCCAGCAGCCGCGGUAAUACGGAGGGUGCAAGCGUUAAUCGGAAUUACUGGGCGUAAAGCGCACGCAGGCGGUCUGUCAAGUCGGAUGUGAAAUCCCCGGGCUCAACCUGGGAACUGCAUUCGAAACUGGCAGGCUAGAGUCUUGUAGAGGGGGGUAGAAUUCCAUGUGUAGCGGUGAAAUGCGUAGAGAUGUGGAGGAAUACCGGUGGCGAAGGCGGCCCCCUGGACAAAGACUGACGCUCAGGUGCGAGAGCGUGGGGAGCAAACAGGAUUAGAUACCCGCGUAGUC